RNAcentral lists this ribosomal RNA (248 nucleotides) under uncultured bacterium. Its description in RNAcentral is "partial small subunit ribosomal RNA". It matches the Rfam family "Bacterial small subunit ribosomal RNA", at positions 26 to 288 of the family's 1533-position model. The record is from RNAcentral.
AGAAUCAACGCUGGCGGCGUACCUAACACAUGCAAGUCGAACGAGAAAGUGGAGCAAUCCAUUAGUAAAGUGGCGCACGGGUGAGUAACACGUGACUAACCUACCCUUGAGUGGGGGAUAACCUAGGGAAACCUGGGCUAAUACCGCAUAAUACCUUCGGGUCAAAGGAGCAAUUCGCUUAAGGAGGGGGUCGCGGCCGAUUAGUUAGUUGGCGGGGUAAUGGCCCACCAAGACGAUGAUCGGUAUCC